RNAcentral lists this transfer RNA (88 nucleotides) under Methanobrevibacter ruminantium M1. RNAcentral describes it as "tRNA-Leu (TAG) (tRNA-Leu-TAG-2-1)". It matches the Rfam family "tRNA". Rfam says of the family: Transfer RNA (tRNA) molecules are approximately 80 nucleotides in length. Their secondary structure includes four short double-helical elements and three loops (D, anti-codon, and T loops). Further hydrogen bonds mediate the characteristic L-shaped molecular structure. tRNAs have two regions of fundamental functional importance: the anti-codon, which is responsible for specific mRNA codon recognition, and the 3' end, to which the tRNAs corresponding amino acid is attached (by aminoacyl-tRNA synthetases). tRNAs cope with the degeneracy of the genetic code in two manners: having more than one tRNA (with a specific anti-codon) for a particular amino acid; and 'wobble' base-pairing, i.e. permitting non-standard base-pairing at the 3rd anti-codon position. The record is from Rfam by way of RNAcentral. Lineage: Archaea; Methanobacteriati; Methanobacteriota; Methanobacteria; Methanobacteriales; Methanobacteriaceae.
AGCUGUGUAGUGCCAAGUCAGGUCUAAGGCAGCGGACUUAGGAUUCGUGGAGUUAGUCUCAUCAUGGGUUCAAAUCCCAUCGCAGCUA